RNAcentral lists this ribosomal RNA (305 nucleotides) under uncultured bacterium. Its description in RNAcentral is "partial 16S ribosomal RNA". It matches the Rfam family "Bacterial small subunit ribosomal RNA", at positions 506 to 807 of the family's 1533-position model. The record is from RNAcentral.
ACAGCAGUAGCCGCGGUAAUACGUAGGGUGCGAGCGUUAAUCGGAAUUACUGGGCGUAAAGCGUGCGCAGGCGGUUCGUUAAGACAGAUGUGAAAUCCCCGGGCUUAACCUGGGAACUGCAUUUGUGACUGGCGGGCUGGAGUAUGGCAGAGGGGGGUAGAAUUCCACGUGUAGCAGUGAAAUGCGUAGAGAUGUGGAGGAAUACCGAUGGCGAAGGCAGCCCCCUGGGCCAAUACUGACGCUCAUGCACGAAAGCGUGGGGAGCAAACAGGAUUAGAUACCCCGGUAGUCCCUGUCUCUUAUAC